GGGGGUAAUCGAGGGUUUCGGGGACGCCGAGUGGCGCUUUCCUCUUCCCAGCGAGUGACGGAGGGAAGUCGGCGGCUCGGGUGCGCGGCCACUUUCCCUGCGCGAUUCCCCGAGCUCCCUGCAGGAGGAGAAAGUCCCCGGCGGGUCCGGAUGGCGUAGUUGCGCUGCGGCGCAGCAGCUGCCGGAGCUUCGCGGCCGCCGGGCGCUGGGCGGGGAAACUUCGCUCUGCUUUUUCCUCCAACUUGUGGCGGGUGGAUCUCCGCUGGACACGCCGCCUCCGAGGCAACUUGAAAAUUGGAAAGAAGGACUUAAAGGCCAUUUCUGAUUUGCAAAGAUUGUCUACGAUCUGAAGAACUACAGGCUGAGGUGGCUGAAUGGGACACCCUUUUGGAGAAAUAAAAAUGACUCUUCAUUGUGUGGUUGCCCUGUUUGCCCUGAUAAGUUCCUGUUUAGCAACAGCAGGUAAGUUGCAUCAUAUAAAUUGCUGGUUCAUUAUAUUCUUCUGGAUAUAGUUUUCUUUGAUCUUUGCAGUCUAGAAAAAUCUAGGCUAUGUAAUGUUUAUGCAAAACUCGAGUAUUUAUAUUCUUCAAGGCAAAAUUAUUGGACUGCUAUAGACAUAUUUGCCUCUUAUAUUUUACUAGGCUGCUGCUAGACAUUCUCAUGCAUAGGUUAUAUUUACUUUCUUAUCCUGAGUAAGAAUUUCGAAAAUGCUCUUUUGUUCUUUAUUACAAAGUAAAUAGAUGUUUUACAUACAGGGAGUGGUCCUCGCAUAGGCUGCUUGGGGGAUCCAUCAUUUUGCCCAUUUCAGGUAUUUUAAUAUGUAACUUUUAAAAAUGUACAGAAAUGCAGAGUUCCCGUUGUGGCUCAGUGGAUUCAGGACCUGACAUUGUCUCUGUGAGGAUGCGGGUUCGAUCCCUGGCCUGGCCCAGUGGGUAAUCCACUGGGCCAGCAUUGCUGUAAGCUUCGGUGUAGAUGGCAAAUGCAGCUUGGAUCCAGUGUUGCGGUGGCUGUGGUGUAGCCCCCAACUGCAGCUCCAGUUCUUCUCCUAGCCUAGGAACUUCCAUAUGGCAGGAAGGUGGCUGUAAAAAGAAAAGAAAACAAAACAAAAAAACCCAAUGGGAAAUGCAUUGUGCUUCCUAGAGGCCAUCAGAGCAUGAGGCGGGAGAUGAGAAGAAGCAGGUGAUUUGGUUGAAACAUCAUUGCUUAAGUAAGAGUCUCAGAUCCCCCCACCCCAACAUCUAUCUUAGUGUUGGCAGCCAAGCUUACUUCACAAAUCUGGAAAUUUAAUUUGCUCUAUUUUGUUCUAAUUUGCUUUGUGUCUCUUCUCGCAUGAGCUACCUAGAACUAAUUUGUUGGGCCAGUUCUGGAAACGGGUUGGCCUCAGGAAGAAACACAUUGACUUAAAAAAUGAUCAGCCUCCUUGUUUCGGCUGUAGAAUUGCACCUGCAGGUGACACGAGAGUGAUCCCAAUAAGCGCCACGUAUUGAAUGUGCACUCUAGCAGGUGCCGGGUACCUGAGCUAAACACGAGUGGACCAUGGCCAUGACCGUGAGCAAGGAUGUCCUUAUUUCAGGAGCUCACUUAGUCACAACGCUGAGGGGGGUGAGGUUGUGUUCCCCAUUUUACAGAUGAUGAAAUGAGGUGUGUAGAGAGCCGGUGACCUGUCUGGCGUCACGGGGCUGGGGCACGGAGGGGCUGGAUUCCCCAUCUGUACAGACACUUCGCCUCCUGGGAGAUGCUGAAGAUGCCAGACCACCGUUGAGUCUCUUGUCCACUCAGACCAGGAGUCCUUGGUAGCCACAGACCAAAUGAAAGCCAGUUUGCAGAAAUGAGUUUAUGAGACUGGAAAGCAGAACGUCCCCCUGCUUGCAAAUAUCUUGAGAGAAAGUUGCUACUUUUUUUUGUUUUUUUUGAAUGCCAGUGUGUGAAUUUGAACUGCCCGUUCUCUCUGUCGUCAGCAGUUUCAUUUUGUCUCAUGAUUGAAAAGUUAUUUGCCUUUUAGCCUGUGCAUUGAAACCAAUCUUAAUUAAAAUCUCAUUGAAAAGUAAUAGCAGAGAGAGAGACUGAGAGAGCGAGAGAGAGAGAAAUGGGGGGUAGGGGGGGGAGGGCGGGUGGGCUAUGGCUUGACAGAAAAUGGGCUGUUUGGAUGAUAAAAGAUGUAUAAUGGUACCUGAUGGGUUCGAGGCAGAAUUUUCAUCUUUCGUUGAUGAGAAAUGUAACUGAAGAAGGUACUUCAUGGGCACGUGGUGAGUCUGGGGACUCUGUCUGUCGCCUUGAUGUAUUUGACAGUGAACCUGUUUUGCUUAUGGCUUCCCUUCCUCUUUCAAGCCAGGGGUAAAAGGUAUGUAUUUUUUGAGUUGUGCGUACCCUCAAAGCUUUGCUGGGCUGUACAGUAAGGUCGAAGGUACAGGAGAAUGAACAGAUUAUAACAACCGGCGGCAACUGAUGAGCGGGACAGAUGUCGAGGAGCUUUUUUGAACAACGUCAUGGGCCAAGUGAGUGCAGAAGAAGGGAGAAGUGUUUUGUAUGUACUGGCAUCCAGGAAUUUUCUGUGUCAACUCAGCAUACUUUACAAAAUGCUAUUGUAGGGCAUUUGGGAUGAGUUGAACUUCAGAAAGCUAGUAUAAUAAUGAACAGUUUAAUUACUAUGUGCCAGGCCGUGUUCAAAGUGCUUUUCCUUUUCUUUUUUUUUUCUUUUUCUUUUUACAAUUGUACCUGCAGCACAUGGACGUUCCCAGGCUAGGGGUCAAAUUAGAGCUACUUUCGCCGGCCUCCACCACAGCCACAACAACACCGGAUCUGAGCCACGUCUGGGACCGAUGCUGCAGCUUGAAGCAACACCCGAUCCUUAACCCACUGAGUGAGGCCAGGGAUUGAACCCACAUCCUCAUGGGCCCUAUGUCGGGUCCUUAACCUGCUGGGCCACAAUGGGAACUCCUCAAAUACUUUAAAGGUAUUAUCCCAUCACUCCCUUAAGAAGUGUAGGUUCUUUGUUUAUCUUCCUGUUGUAGAUGAGGAAACUGAGGGACAGACAGGUUAAGCAAUUUCCUCAAGGUCCUGCAGCUACGACGUGGCAGAUUCAACCAUCAACCUACCUAGCCUGGGUCUACAGGUCGAGCCUUUAGUUGCUGCAGUAGGAGGGAGGAUUGCUCAGAGAGGUGGUUGUUGUGAAGAAUGAUGAUGGCUUUGUUGGUGCCACCCGUGUCCUUCAGAAGCAUCAGGCGUUCACUGAGUCCUGCUAAGUGCACAGCCCAGUACUAGUCACUUAGGGACAUGCAACGAAAUAGAAGAUUCAUCCUUCUUUUGUGCUGCUUGUACUUUAGUUCGGCCUGUGAAAUGCCACCAUGUAGCAAAACAAUCAAGGCAUGUAGGUGCUGUGUCGACGCCGGAAGACCUCAGGGGGUUGGGGGUGGGGGGUUAGGGGCAGGGGCGGCCUUUGUGGUCUUGAGCUUGGUUUGGAAGACCGGGCAGGACCUCGGAAGGGGAAGGCCCUGGGGUGAGCUGAUGGGAAAAUAGGACGUGGCACGUAACUGCUUGAUGUUGUCUUCAAGAAACGGAUGGCGCGGAGAACCGGCUGGGAAUGUAGGGGCGUGUGUUCGCGGAGGAUCUUAAAGGGCAGGAUGAGGCUGUGGGUUUCAUGCUGAGAUGUGGAUUCAUUUGCUCUUUUCCCACCCCCUUGUAGCCACAGGCACGCACUGUUUGAUUUAGAAAGUGAGGCCUCCUCCUCGGCUGCAGAGGCGGCCUGCCUGGCACAUAGGCUGCCAGUCACCUUGCUCUUGCCCUCUGCCAGCUGAUGGAUUGUGUCUUUCUAAGGCAACCCUGCGAGGUGGUCUUUGUAUUAUGAUCACCAUCUGCAUUUUACAUGCAGGGAAACUGAAACUCCGUAACGCAUAAGGGGCAGAGCUGGGACUGGAACCCAGGCAGCGUGGCUCUAGAAUCCAGCCUGUCAGUCACUCUGCUGGAGCCUCUGUGGGGCAGGCCCUCCGUGUGGAACGAACGAUCGUGCUUGCUGAUGGAUGCGAGGGCAGAUGAGUAGCCGCCAGUGGGAUGCCCUGGAAGCAGAUUACCGCCCCCCCCAGCCAGCCUCAGAAGGGACGUGUGUAAGUCGUCAGAGUGGAGGGACCCCCAAACAUGGGCCUUGUUUAUUGCAUGCUUAUUUCCCUGAUGCGGCUCUGAAGCUCCGCCGUGUGGUUCUUGGCAGCAGACGGGCUGAAGGCCUCGCUUGGCUGUGUGGCCCGAGAGAAGACGAGCACAGCACAGCACAGCGCAUAAAACCAGCCCGGGUUGGAGGAGGAGGAGCAGCCUGCGUGUGGGCCUUCAGUGAAGGCCUUUCUUCUGGGCAGUGGCUCGGGGUGGGGUGGGGGGGCACAGCUGGGUGUGUCCCAGGGCUGGUGGUGGCUUUGGCAAAACUCACACUCUCCCUUCCCUCCUCUUUUGGGGGGUGUCACCCAGCAUCACAGGGAGGGAGGGCCACGCUCUUGGUGAACAAGAGUUGGGCAAGGACCGGAGCGCCUCCUGCUGAGAAAUUACCGUUGGUGUUUGCGGCCGUGUCUUGGGUCCUGUCACCCGCCUAACACAAAGUGGGAAGUUUAAGAAGUAAAUGCUUGCUCUGAUGGGCUUCGGCCUCAUGAAGUUUGCACUUUAAAAACUGUUCUGCUACACAUCUUUUAAAAACCUCAAGUGCUGCCUCUGAGGCUUUUGCUAGCGUUGCUGAGGGCCAUGUUCCUAGGAGCCCUGCAACGAGAAAAAGAGGCACACCUGGAGAAUUCGGGGACAUCGGUUUAGAGAAAGCGAGGGACCUGUCUGGGCUCCACUGGCCCCUUGUGUCAAGUCAAAGGGUGCUGCUGGCGCCUGUGUCAGCCAGGGGGUGAAGGGGGGGCUUUUCUUUCCGUGGGUGCCACGCGGUGCCCAGGUGCCUAGGGGCAUCCUUUUGGAGGGUGGCCCAUGGCCUGCACACACACGUCUGUUGAGGAAACGCAUUUCAUUUCCUCUUUAUUGAAUGUACCUGGCAUUCCAGGUAGAGCCCACAGGAAGAUAGAGAUGUUUUUACUUGGAGCUAUUUUCCUGCUUCAGAAGAUCUGAACCCUUUGGGUCCAGAGAUACUCGCUGGUUCAUUCUGGCUUUGGGACGGGACGAGCUCGCAGCCGUGUGAGGAGGCUAAACGAAUGAUAAAGUCAUUGUAGUUUUAUAUUGUUUUCAAAAUGCUUUCAUGCCUUGUGUUCAUUGGCUUCUACUGGCAUUUCCCGGGUCGACGGGCUUGUGUUUUUCAUUUGUGGAGUGAGAGUGUUGUGGCUUUAGAGAAGGUAAGCAAUUAGAACACUAGUCCACCUCUUGAACUUGAACUCAACAUGCUUUGGCAGACCAGCUGCACCGACAGGCCAUAGGGGCUUUCUCCUGCAGUGCCCCCUGCCCCCUGCCACCCCACCUCUCAGAACAGUGCCAGCCUGGCCCUCUGCUGGCACUUUGCACGACUCAGUUUAUUUCAUCCUAACAGAAACCCGCUGAAGUAGGCAUUUGUCAUUAACACUGUUUCUGUAAUUAUUACGACCGACACCACUCCUGCCAUUAUUACUGUUAUCUUGAUACUGAUUUUACAGAUGAGGAAACUAAGGCUUAGAGAAGAAAAAGGUCACCUUUGGAGUUCCCGUCGUGGCGCAGUGGUUAACGAAUCCGACUAGGAACCAUGAGGUUGCGGGUUUGAUCCCUGCCCUUGCUCAGUGGGUUAACGAUCCGGCGUUGCCGUGAGCUGUGGUGUAGGUUGCAGACGCGGCUCGGAUCCCGCGUUGCUGUGGCUCUGGCGUAGGUCGGUGGCUACAGCUCCGAUUGGACCCCUAGCCUGGGAACCUCCAUAUGCCGCGGGAGCGGCCCAAGAAGUGGCGAAAAAAGACCAAAAAAAAAAAAAAAAA
This 5906-nucleotide long non-coding RNA is filed under the name Sus scrofa (pig). RNAcentral's name for it is "lncRNA (ENSSSCG00040028715.1)". Lineage: Eukaryota; Metazoa; Chordata; Mammalia; Artiodactyla; Suidae. The record is from RNAcentral.